This 253-nucleotide ribosomal RNA is filed under the name uncultured bacterium. RNAcentral's name for it is "partial 16S ribosomal RNA". It matches the Rfam family "Bacterial small subunit ribosomal RNA", at positions 524 to 776 of the family's 1533-position model. The record is from RNAcentral.
UACGUAGGCAGCAAGCGUUUUUCGGAAUUACUGGGCGUAAAGCGUGCGUAGGCGGUUGGCCAAGUUUGGUGUGAAAUCUCCCGGCUCAACUGGGAGGGUGCGCCGAAAACUGGCCGGCUAGAGUGCGGGAGAGGGAAGUGGAAUUCCUGGUGUAGCGGUGAAAUGCGUAGAUAUCAGGAGGAACACCUGUGGUGUAGACGGCUUCCUGGACCGUGACUGACGCUGAGGCACGAAAGCGUGGGGAGCAAACAGG